AGCGAACGCUGGCGGCAGGCCUAACACAUGCAAGUCGAACGGACCCUUCGGGGUUAGUGGCGGACGGGUGAGUAACACGUGGGAACGUGCCUUUAGGUUCGGAAUAGCUCCUGGAAACGGGUGGUAAUGCCGAAUGUGCCCUUCGGGGGAAAGAUUUAUCGCCUUUAGAGCGGCCCGCGUCUGAUUAGCUAGUUGGUGAGGUAACGGCUCACCAAGGCGACGAUCAGGAGCUGGUCUGAGAGGAUGACCAGCCACACUGGGACUGAGACACGGCCCAGACUCCUACGGGAGGCAGCAGUGUGGAAUCUUGCGCAAUGGGCGAAAGCCUGACGCAGCCAUGCCGCGUGAAUGAUGAAGGUCUUAGGAUUGUAAAAUUCUUUCACCGGUGACGAUAAUGACGGUACCCGGAGAAGAAGCCCCGGCUAACUUCGUGCCAGCCGCCGCCGUAA
RNAcentral lists this ribosomal RNA (449 nucleotides) under uncultured bacterium. Its description in RNAcentral is "partial 16S ribosomal RNA". It matches the Rfam family "Bacterial small subunit ribosomal RNA", at positions 29 to 523 of the family's 1533-position model. The record is from RNAcentral.